Molecule: ribosomal RNA, 440 nt
Filed under: uncultured bacterium
Lineage: Bacteria
Description: partial 16S ribosomal RNA
Rfam family: Bacterial small subunit ribosomal RNA
Source: RNAcentral
CCUACGGGUGGCUGCAGUGGGGAAUAUUGCACAAUGGGGGAAACCCUGAUGCAGCGACGCCGCGUGAGUGAAGAAGUAUCUCGGUACGUAAAGCUCUUUCAGCAGGGAAGAAAAUGACGGUACCUGACUAAGAAUCCCCGGCUAACUACGUGCUAGCAGCCGCGGUAAUACGUAGGGGGCAAGCGUGAUCCGGAUUUACUGGGUGUAAAGGGAGCGUAGACGGCAGCACAAGUCAGGAGUGAAAACCCGGGGCUUAACCCCGGAACUGCGUUGGAAACUGUGCGGCUGGAGUGCAGGAGGGGUAGGCGGAAUUCCUGGUGUAGCGGUGAAAUGCGUAGAUAUUAGGAGGAACACCGGUGGCGAAGGCGGCUUACUGGACUGUAACUGACGUUGAGGCUCGAAAGCGUGGGGAGCAAACAGGAUUAGAUACCCUUGUAGUC